Molecule: long non-coding RNA, 616 nt
Organism: Triticum urartu
Lineage: Eukaryota; Viridiplantae; Streptophyta; Magnoliopsida; Poales; Poaceae
Source: RefSeq, a predicted model, not a curated record
ACAAGCUCGCGUAUAAAUAGGAGAGGAGGUACAGCAGCUCCUUCCAGGGACAGAGCUUGAGCGCAGCUACGUACGCAUCCCAGCAUAUGGCUUUCACUUCCAGAGCCUUGGCCGCGUUCCUGUGCGUGCUCCUGGCCUCACUCAUGUUCCUCACGCAGCACGCGUUCGCCGCCAGAGGUACUUUGAGCAACGAGACGCCAUACGGAUACGAGGGCAGCUACCAGGCCCCGCCGGGCCUGCCCGAAGGUUAUGGGAAUUCUCCUCCAUGAUUGGCCGGAGACGAUGAUACUUGGAGCACCGAAAUACAAAUACGUACGGCGGAGCAUGAAUAAAUUUGCACCAGUUGCUGAUAUAUAGCAAAGCAUAGUGAUGCACCUUUUUAUAUUGUUAUUGAGUUUCCCUUUAUAUAUAUACAAAUAAACACCCUUGUGGCGGUUGUGCGCGUCGUCUGAGUUUGGCCGAGGCCGAGUCUCUUCGGGUCGCAUCAAAGUUAUCAAGUCUCUGCAUCAACUAAGUUACAGUCAUUAUAUAGCUGGACACUACCUUGUACCUUGAAUGAAUACUGGAAUGAGAAGAAAAGCCGCCACGACAAGUUCGCGCGGCGCAAAUCUCUUCA